Dipodomys ordii (Ord's kangaroo rat) is the source of this 111-nucleotide ribosomal RNA. Lineage: Eukaryota; Metazoa; Chordata; Mammalia; Rodentia; Heteromyidae. The record is from Ensembl.
AUCUACGGCCAUACCACCCUGAACGCGCCUGAUCUCAUCUGAUCUCGGAAGCUAAGCAGGGUCGGGCCUGGUUAGUACUUGGAUGGGAGAAAUAUAAGGGUGCUUUUUCUU